Molecule: unclassified non-coding RNA, 329 nt
Filed under: uncultured fungus
Lineage: Eukaryota; Fungi
Description: sequence contains 5.8S rRNA gene
Source: RNAcentral
AACGCACAUUGCACUCUUUUCGAGUAUGCCUGUUUGAGAAUCUAUAGUCUUUAUUUUUGUGUAUGCUUUUUAGGAAGUAUAGGCAAGAGAUAUGGGGUUUCCCUCGCAAGGGGGUACUCUGAAAUAGAUUGCCUCUGUUUUGAUAGACUCGACGAAGUUUUUCAAUCCUGCAGAAAAGUAUUUGAAUGGAACUGUGGUUUCUCGAUAUGCUGAAUAUGUGGGGGAAAGAUGGAGAAUCUAUUGGGCAGAUGUCCAUACCCUAUAAGGCGGUCUUAGGAUCGGCUUGAACCAUGGUCUCAAAUCAGGUAGGAAGACCCGCUGAACUUAAG